Molecule: ribosomal RNA, 251 nt
Filed under: uncultured bacterium
Lineage: Bacteria
Description: partial 16S ribosomal RNA
Rfam family: Bacterial small subunit ribosomal RNA
Source: RNAcentral
UACGUAGGUGGCAAGCGUUGUCCGGAUUUACUGGGUGUAAAGGGCGUGCAGCCGGGCCGGCAAGUCAGAUGUGAAAUCCCGCGGCUUAACCGCGGAACUGCAUUUGAAACUGCUGGUCUUGAGUACCGGAGCGGUCAUCUGAAUUCCUUGUGUAGCGGUGAAAUGCGUAGAUAUAAGGAAGAACACCAGUGGCGAAGGCGGAUGACUGGACGGCAACUGACGGUGAGGCGCGAAAGCGUGGGGAGCAAACA